CCGAGCGUUAUCCGGAAUUAUUGGGUUUAAAGGGUCCGUAGGCGGACCGAUAAGUCAGGGGUGAAAGUCUGCCGCUCAACGGUAGAACUGCCUUUGAUACUGUCGGUCUUGAGUUAUAGUGAAGUUGCCGGAAUAUGUAGUGUAGCGGUGAAAUGCAUAGAUAUUACAUAGAACACCGAUUGCGAAGGCAGGUGACUAACUAUCGACUGACGCUGAUGGACGAAAGCGUGGGGAGCGAACAGGAUUAGAUACCCUGGUAGUCCACGCCGUAAACGAUGGAUACUAGCUGUCCGGAGCCUUGAGUUCUGGGCGGCCAAGCGAAAGUGAUAAGUAUCCCACCUGGGGAGUACGUUCGCAAGAAUGAAACUCAAAGGAAUUGACGGGGGCCCGCACAAGCGGUGGAGCAUGUGGUUUAAUUCGAUGAUACGCGAGGAACCUUACCAGGGCUUAAAUGCAUAUUGACAGGGUCAGAGAUGACUUUUCCUUCGGGCAAUUUGCAAGGUGCUGCAUGGUUGUCGUCAGCUCGUGCCGUGAGGUGUCAGGUUAAGUCCUAUAACGAGCGCAACCCCUACCGUUAGUUGCCAGCAUGUCAUGAUGGGGACUCUAACGGGACUGCCGGUGCAAACCGUGAGGAAGGUGGGGAUGACGUCAAAUCAUCACGGCCCUUACGUCCUGGGCCACACACGUGCUACAAUGGCAGGUACAGAGAGCAGCCACGUCGCAAGGCGGAGCGAAUCUAUAAAACCUGUCACAGUUCGGAUCGGGGUCUGCAACUCGACCCCGUGAAGCUGGAAUCGCUAGUAAUCGGAUAUCAGCCAUGAUCCGGUGAAUACGUUCCCGGGCCUUGUGCUCACCGCCCGUCAAGCCAUGGAAGCCGGGAGUC
This 883-nucleotide ribosomal RNA is filed under the name Maribacter sp. RHA_13. Its description in RNAcentral is "bacterial SSU rRNA". It matches the Rfam family "Bacterial small subunit ribosomal RNA", at positions 534 to 1419 of the family's 1533-position model. The record is from RNAcentral. Lineage: Bacteria; Pseudomonadati; Bacteroidota; Flavobacteriia; Flavobacteriales; Flavobacteriaceae.